Long non-coding RNA from Rhineura floridana, 808 nucleotides. RefSeq lists it as uncharacterized. The record is from RefSeq and is a predicted model, not a curated record. The transcript has 3 exons. NCBI's taxonomy places the organism in Eukaryota, Metazoa, Chordata, Lepidosauria, Squamata, Rhineuridae.
UUCCCAGGUACGGCGCGGGUGAAAAACGUGCACCUGUUGAUCUCUCCAGUUCUCCCCCUCUCCCCCUUCGAAGAUGGUGACCACCAGAAGCACCCCUGGCUGACCCGCCGGCUCGUUCCUCUUCCGGCUUGGCCCAGUCUCCUCCUUCGCCUACUCAGUGUUUACAUCCAGAGCUGGAGGAGGAGCUGGACUCAGCAGCGGGGAAGGGCUCCGGCUGCUGUUGCGACCUUGUGGCGCUGCUCCUCUUGAGUAAGCUGCCUGUCCUCUUGAGCCACGAGGAGAGCCAGGGAGCGCCGGCUUGUGCCUUUUCCUUCUUGGGACUGAAGAGCAUGGAGCUUCCUUUCCCCUGUCAGCUGGAGCCAGGAAGGGCUGCUGCUGGCUGCUGCUGCUGCUGUGUGUUUUAAAAAAAUCAAACCCAAGAGAAUGAAAGGAAUCCAGGGGUGUGGUGUUAGCCUUUGCCUGUUCAGAAGGUGCUCUCCUGCACAGUAGCUGUUGAUCAUAAGGCUUUGUGAAAUGUAAUUCACAAGUCUGGAAAGCAAGAAGGAAAGGUCUGGUUGAACACAUGAAAAGGGUGCCUUCAUGUUCAGCCAAAUGCAAGGAAGUUGGGUGUGUAGUUUACAGACAUGGCCUUGCUCCCUCCUUCAUACUGUGGUUGUGUGGCGAGGAACAAAUGAAAGGGGCUACAAUCUGCAUCACAAGUAGGAUCUGCAGGACCAUGGACAGUUCCAAAGUGGUAGACAAGCUGCUCUGAGAAGACCCAGAAGUCAACUGACACUUUAUAUCAUGAUGUUGGCCUUCAUUCUAUGAU